This 45-nucleotide non-coding RNA is filed under the name Schistosoma haematobium. Lineage: Eukaryota; Metazoa; Platyhelminthes; Trematoda; Strigeidida; Schistosomatidae. The record is from RNAcentral.
AUCCAGAUGACGAGUCUUAAAUGAGACGAAACGCGCAUCCUCGAU